This 692-nucleotide small RNA is filed under the name Pongo abelii (Sumatran orangutan). RNAcentral describes it as "processed transcript". Lineage: Eukaryota; Metazoa; Chordata; Mammalia; Primates; Hominidae. The record is from RNAcentral.
AGAUAUCUCCUGCGCCGCCCGCCAUUUUGACUCCAGUGUCUUGUUUGCAGUCGGCGCGUUAAGGGAACUGUGUUGCUCCGCAGGCGCGAGGCUGGGUACAGGGUCUAUUGUCUGUGGUUGACUCCGUACUUUGGUCUGAGGCCUUCGGGAGCUUUCCCGGGGCAGUUAGCAGAAGCCGCAGCGGCCGCCUCCGCCCGUCUCCGCUGUCCCCGGGCCCGGGAGGGACCAACUUCGCGUCACGCCCCUCAGCGGUCGCCACUCUCUUCUCUGUCGUUGGGUCCGCAUCGUAUUCCCGGAAUCAGACGGUGCCCCAUAGAUGGCCAGCUUUCCCCCGAGGGUCAACGAGAAAGAGAUCGACUGAGUCUUGCUCUGUUGUCCAGGCUGGAGUGCAGUAGCGCAGUUUCAGCUUACUGCAACCUCCACCACUCGGGAUCAAGCAGUUCUCCUGCCUCACCCUCCCGAGUAGCUGGGAUUACAGUGAGAUCACGUACUAUAGGUGAACUUUUAGCUCCUGCAGCUCCUUUUGACAAGAAAUGUGGUCGUGAAAAUUGGACUGUUGCUUUCGCUCCAGAUGGUUCAUACUUUGCUUGGUCACAAGGACAUCGCACAGUAAAGCUUGUUCCGUGGUCCCAGUGCCUUCAGAACUUUCUCUUGCAUGGCACCAAGAAUGUUACCAAUUCAAGCAGUUUAAG